This 704-nucleotide long non-coding RNA is filed under the name Manihot esculenta (cassava). RNAcentral's name for it is "long non-coding RNA (MESC_LNC005053)". The record is from RNAcentral. Lineage: Eukaryota; Viridiplantae; Streptophyta; Magnoliopsida; Malpighiales; Euphorbiaceae.
UAGUUCUCAUGCUAGUGCAGUAGUUUUACUGGGAAUCUAAUGUUAUCAGCUAAAUAUGCUUCAUUUUUCUUUCUACUUGAAUUCCAAUUUAAGCAUGCUUAUGAAUUCAAUAGGCUUGUGUAAUUCAUCCAUGGCUGCAGUCCAUCAGUUCUCAAUCCAUCAUUAUCUUGAUUGAAACAUUAUCUACAGAGUUGGCAGUGCUCUACAUCAUAAUCAUGCACAUUUAAUUUGUUUCCACAAAAAAUUGCAAUCUUCUAUAGCAUGGUGGUAGAAGUUCAAGAACAAAAUAUGAACACUUGAAUAUAUGUAGUAUAAACUCGACUUUUGCAUCACUCACUCGUAUGCUGUAUUUCAUGUUUCUUUCAUUUUCUAGGUCCGUUCAAACACCUUAGGAGCUGUUGGAUUCCUCGGGGACAGCAGGCGAAUGAAUGUUGCCAUCACAAGAGCACGAAAACAUGUAGCAGUCGUCUGUGAUAGCUCAACAAUAUGCCACAACACUUUCCUGGCCAGGCUCUUGCGCCACAUCCGCUAUUUUGGUAGGGUGAAGCAUGCUGAGCCUGGUAGUUUUGGGGGAUCUGGACUUGGUAUGGAUCCAAUGUUACCAUCAAUUAGUUGAGUACAUAUCACACAUUUGAUUUGGAUUUGGUAUGCUCCAACUGGAAAUUGAUUUGGAGGAGAACUUAACACAGAUGCUUGGUUUCUUU